AUGGAUGCCCCUCGGGCUGCCCGGCCCUCCAACCAUCCCUCCCUGCUCCAGUUUUUCAGAAGCCUCCUUGGGUACCCGCGGAGCUCGCUGGGGGCACAGGAGCCCAGAGCAGAGCAGCAGGAGCAGGGUGCUGCUGUAGGGCCCCGCAGCUGGCAGGCGGAGCGGGUUGAAAGCACCCAUGGGGGGAUCCAGGAGCACUGCGAGGAUGAGGAGGGGGACAGCAUGGAGCUGCUGCUGGGGGAGCUGCGGGAGGUCAGCCUGCAGGGAUCGCUGGGCAGCAGCACCAGCAGGAGCUGCCUGACCACCAGCACCAGUGAUGUGGAAGUGGCAGUGGAGGGCGAUGGGAUGGAGGCUACUGGUGGCACCGUGGCCCUGCAGAGCGAUGGGGCGGCCGGCGAGGAGAGAGGGGCUGCAGAUGAAGCCGUCGUUGGCCGAGCUCUGGUGAUGGAUGAGUUCCUUCAAGGUUUGGGUGCUGCUGAUGAAGACAUCUGCUCUGCAAGCCCUGAGCCGAUGUUUUCAAUGGAUCUUGACACUGAAUGGGAGAAAGGGCAUCUCCUGAAAGCAAAGCAGGGUGCAGGAUCCCCAAAAGCAGAGCUGUCCCUGUGGAACAGGUUCAUCAGUGUGAACAGACACCAGUGGACUUUGCGUAAGGCUCGUGCCUCGAGGAGUUCGAUGGAGCUGGAAAGCGAGGAGCAGCCGCUUCUGCGGGCAAAUGAGAGCAGCACCACGAGCCCCGAGCUCCCCGUCCUGCCCGCAGAACCGGUGUACAGGUUUUCCAAAAGCAGAGCAGCCACUGGUGGCUUUGGGAGAAACCAGGCAGAGCUGGGAGCAAACAGAGCAGGAAUGCCUGGAGAAGGCUGAG
RNAcentral lists this long non-coding RNA (862 nucleotides) under Phasianus colchicus (ring-necked pheasant). Its description in RNAcentral is "lncRNA (ENSPCLG00000017930.1)". The record is from RNAcentral. Lineage: Eukaryota; Metazoa; Chordata; Aves; Galliformes; Phasianidae.